Molecule: ribosomal RNA, 504 nt
Filed under: uncultured bacterium
Lineage: Bacteria
Description: partial 16S ribosomal RNA
Rfam family: Bacterial small subunit ribosomal RNA
Source: RNAcentral
AUUGAACGCUGGCGGCAGGCCUAACACAUGCAAGUCGAACGGUAACACAGAGAGCUUGCUCUCGGGUGACGAGUGGCGGACGGGUGAGUAAUGUCUGGGAAACUGCCCGAUGGAGGGGGAUAACUACUGGAAACGGCAGCUAAUACCGCAUAACGUCGCAAGACCAAAGUGGGGGACCUUCGGGCCUCACACCAUCGGAUGUGCCCAGAUGGGAUUAGCUAGUAGGUGGGGUAAUGGCUCACCUAGGCGACGAUCCCUAGCUGGUCUGAGAGGAUGACCAGCCACACUGGAACUGAGACACAGUCCAGACUCCUACGGGAGGCAGCAGUGGGGAAUAUUGCACAAUGGGCGCAAGCCUGAUGCAGCCAUGCCGCGUGUAUGAAGAAGGCCUUCGGGUUGUAAAGUACUUUCAGCGGGGAGGAAGGCGGUGAAGUUAACAGCUUCACCGAUUGACGUUACCCGCAGAAGAAGCACCGGCUAACUCCGUGCCAGCCGCCGCCGUAA